GUGAAUCAUCGAAUUUUUGAACGCAAAUUGCGCUUCCUAGCAUCCCGGGAAGUAUGCCUGUUUGAGGGUCAGUAUUAACAAAAAAAUCGGUUGGGUUGCAAAUUGUGACGUUUCCGGAGUUUGGGCUAGCUUAACUUUUUUGGUUAAGUUGCUUAAAAUUGACCUUUUUUGCGCAUUGUUAGACGUACAUAAAUUUUUUUUUGUCCGCUGAUCCUUAGUCCGAAAGUCUAUUUGAUUGCGU
This 241-nucleotide unclassified non-coding RNA is filed under the name Rhizophagus sp. (in: glomeromycetes). RNAcentral describes it as "partial contains 5.8S ribosomal RNA and internal transcribed spacer 2". The stretch from base 1 to 71 matches the Rfam family "5.8S ribosomal RNA", at positions 84 to 154 of the family's 154-position model. Lineage: Eukaryota; Fungi; Glomeromycota; Glomeromycetes; Glomerales; Glomeraceae. The record is from RNAcentral.